GGAACUCAAAGUGGGUGGCAUCAAGGCUCUUCUAGCUCAGAGAAGACUGUUCCAGGAGGGUCUCUUUCAGAAGCAGCUAAAGUCACGGGCCAUGUCCACCAUGUGAUAGAAAGACAAGAUGGUUCUGAAAUUCUCCGUGUCACUUCUUUGGAUUCAGUUGGCAUGGGUGAGCGCCCAGCAGCUGGAGCAGAGCCCUUGGUUUCUAAGCAUCCAGGAGGGAGAAAAUGUCACUAUGUACUGCAACUCCUCAAGUGUUUUUACCAACUUACAAUGGUACAGACAGGACCCUGGGGAAGGUCCUGUCCUCCUGGUGAAAUUAGUUAAGGCUGGAGAACUGAAGAAGCAGAAGAGACUAAUCUUUCAUUUUGGUGAUGCAAGAAAGGACAGCUCUCUGCACAUCACUGCGGCCCAGCCUGGUGAUACAGGCCUCUACCUCUGUGCAGGAGCACAGUGCUCUUGAGGCACCUGCUGCCUGCACC
Molecule: non-coding RNA, 479 nt
Organism: Sapajus apella (tufted capuchin)
Lineage: Eukaryota; Metazoa; Chordata; Mammalia; Primates; Cebidae
Source: the annotation of a RefSeq genome assembly